RNAcentral lists this long non-coding RNA (2028 nucleotides) under Pelobates cultripes (western spadefoot toad). The record is from RNAcentral. Lineage: Eukaryota; Metazoa; Chordata; Amphibia; Anura; Pelobatidae.
CCACAACAAAUGCCUUGAUAUUUAUUUUAUUUUUUAAACCAAAAAGGUCAUUAAAUCCUGUUACAUCCACACUUUUGUCAUUUACUUGGACACAAUCAAGAGCAGAUAACUGAUCCCAAACUAAUUAUAUUCUGCAGAUCCUCUAAGAUCUACAAAUUUUUACAUAGCCACAGGUAGGUAUUAUCCAAAAAACAUUUCUCCUGAGAUACAAAUUUUAAAAUUUACCACAUAUGCUCUAUAAAUUAUACUAGGGUAACAUUAUAUAAAAAUAAAAUGGAUUGCUUUGCACAUGGAAAGGUCAUUCUGUUUAACCUUUUAAGGACCAAACUUCUGGAAUAAAAGGGAAUCAUGACAUGUCACACAUGUCAUGUGUCCUUAAGGGGUUAAAGAGACACUAUAGUCACCAGAAAAACUACAGCUUUAUGUAGUUGUUCUGGUGAGUAUAGUCAAUCCCUGUAGCCUUUUUGCUGUAAACUCUGCCUUUUCUAUGGUUUAAAUUGCUCCCUAACAACACCUCAAAUGGCCACUCCUCAUACUCCCACUAGAGGUGCUUCCUGGGGCAGUGCUGUCCAGUGUGCUGAAAUUUCCCCAUAGAGAUGCAUUGAUUCAAUGCAUCUCUAUGAGGGGAUGCUGAUUGGCCAAGCCAGCGUUUGUGUUCCCGACCCUAUAACGUUCCUUUUAAGGUUUACUGCGCACUAUGGGAAAUGUAAUCCUGGGGAAAACAGUUUGCAGAUCCUUGACAAAAAUUAAGCAAAAAUACAAACUGAGCAGGAUUUUACAUCGUAUAAAUAUACAACACUGGCAUCUGAUAGCUCUACUUAUUAAUGUUAAAAGGACAUCCCAUGCACAAAACACAGCUUUCAUACCCUUUGGCCUAAAUACUGUAUUUAUUUAUUUAUUUUUUUCCUUCAACAUUUCAACACUGCCUUCCCGGCGUAAUAUCUCUCGUUCUAAAAUAUUUCCUUCUUGCACCGCUUGUUCCUGAAUAGAGGUAUGUAAUGCCGGAGCUCCAUACGUCUGUUUUUUCUGUCCCGUUCAUUUAAGCAGUGUCUCUUCUAUAACACAAUUGUGAAUGCCAUUAAGAAGCAAAGCAAUGGGUUCUAGAAUUUGUACAAAGUUGAUAACUGAAUUCCUUGCUCUGGGCAGAACCGAGGCUUCACAGAGAGCACUAAAAUCUGCUAAACAGACCUGACAUAGCAUGGCAUGAGUUAUUUUAUAGACUCUAGUGCCUGUCCUUUAGAGUAAAAAAAAAAAAAAAAUCAAAAACCAGUAGUGCAUGGCCUGCAUGUUUAACUGUUGAAAUGCAGUUGAAUAUGUCCAGCAUUUCAGAGCCCCAUUACCAGAAUGGAAAAUUCCAUGUCACGCUCAAGGCUACAGUUUCCAUGCAAACGCAGCAAUCUCAGAUGCAUCUGUUAUUACUUUGCGUUGGUUCUUACAUAUAUUUAAAUACAUUUUCUACAUUAAAGAUUAUCUGCAUUAAACUAAAAGAAUUGAUCAAUUCCAGCCUGCCAUGAUGACCCUUUAAGUGGCAACUCCUGAAUUCAUAAGUGACCAUCCGGCUAAUGACCAAAUCACGGCACUCUGCAAAACCCUAAGUGGGAGAAAAAAAAUAAAAUAAGUGACAUACACAAGAUCAAUCUUAUAUAAAGAUUGUUCAUGGGUAGAACAUUGGCUUAAAAAUAGAGUACAGAAAGUGGUCAUUAAUGGUACAUUUUAAAGCUAGACAGAGGUGGCAAGUGACUCCCCUCAGGGUUCUGUUCUAGGAACACUUCUAUUUAACAUAUUUAUAAAUGAUCUUGAAAUAAGUAUUGAAAUCAUGUUUCAAUUUUUGCAGAUGACACAAAACUCUGUAAAGUAAUACAUUGUGCACAAUAUAUUUCUUUGCUGCAGAGGGAUUUAGAUAGGCUGGGGGACUGGGUGCUCAAAUGCCAAAUGAAAGGUAAUUUUAAAAUUAUGCUCUUUGGGGUAAAGAAUGCACAAGCAACUUAUACCCUAAAUAGUAGUGAAUUGGGGAUAACAACACACAAA